AUAUUCUCUGUAGCAGUGUUUAAAAGCAUGCUGUGUGAUUAUUAAAAUAAUCCAACUUAAAAGCUUGCACUGAAGAAGAGGAGAUUGGAUCAAAGUGCAAAUGUCAUUCUAUGGUGAAAGUCUUGCGCUGUGGUGGUGCAAAGUCACUCAGAGAAACAACUGAUCUGAAGGAUGAAGUGUUUGCACUGCUGGGUGGUGUGUGGCUUAACUUUAGGCCUUGUGUGUGUUUCGUUGUGGAUCUGCAAAAAGUCAACAGCCAGUUACAAAAAGUCAACAAACAAAAGAAAAGUAAAAGAAAAGAAGACCAAGCUGCAGAAACAAGCAGAGAGGACACAAGAAGAGCUGACUGUAUUAUCAGAGCUUAUCACGCUGAUGCUGGAACUGAAGAGGGGAUAUCGCCAGCAGAAAGAAGAAUUCAAACUGUUAGAGGAGAUAAACAAAGAGCUGGUAGAAAACAAGAAGAAACUUUGUCUGGUAGAGAAUGAAAUAGCAAAGAGUGAGAAAGAAAAACAGACGGACAAAACAGAAAGAUACUUGGAGGAAAAACAAAGUCUAUUGAGUGUUCAGCGUAAACUGGAGAAGAAAAAGGAAGAACUAGAGAAUCUACAACUGAACAUGGAGAAACAGCUGCUUCAAACAGAGGAUAUAAUGAGCACGAUGACAGAAAGAAGGACAAAAUUAGAAAACAAUUAUGAGGUGAUCAACUUGCAGCUGGAGGAGGUAGAUUAGUCAGUGAUUAGUAGUGAGAUGAGUGGUGAGAACAAAUAAAUACAUGAUGUACACUGAUUGAUUAACCUUACUUUCUGACGUGGUAUCUUAAAUAAAACAAUCGUGAGCUGCAAAAAAGAAUAAUCUAAGAAAGAUUGCAAUAUUUUGUUCAAUUUAUGAUAAAUUAUAUUCAUGUUGUUUAAGUAAGAAAGUUUGAAAAGAAAGAAAUUAUCUCAAUUGACUAAACAGAGAGAUGGUGCUGGAAAGGAUGCACAGCAGGUCGAGUAAGAAGUAAUAAUGCGUGAAGAGGGUAUGCUGAGAAAAAGGAAAGAGUACUCUGAGGAGAUGAUGAAUGAAGAAAAUGAGAGGGGAUGAUGGGUGGAGGGAAGUGAAGGGAAGGGAAAUGAAUCAGGCAGUGCAGAGGAUUAGUAAGGAGGAAGUUAGGGCAGCUAUGGAAAGACAGUUGGUCGGGACUGCAUACCUGUGGAGGAGGUCUGGUAAAGAGGCCUGUUGAUUUUUUCACUAGUUUUUGUUAACAGUCUUGGAGAGUGACAGGAACCAUGAGGAAUGGAGAAUUGUACUGGAUGAUGUGCAGAGCUGUGGAAAUUAAAAACAGUUAAACUUGAUUAAGAAUAUUUUGUUAAUAGAAAACAGAAAAAAGAACUGCUCAAGCAAGGAAGAAAGCUGAAAUGAACAAAUGUUUAUUUAAAUGAACACAUAAUCAAGAAAAAUGCAGACACCGCAAAACAAGCAAGAACAUUAAGAAAACAGAAGAAAAUACAGUCAACUUGGAUGUCAGAUUGUAAGAUAUUCAUUAAACUAAAUAGAACACCAGAGCAGGGAAAAGUUCUAGUCAUCAAAGAGAUGACGGAACUAGAAACAUAAAACUGAUAAAUCAGAACGCAAAGCAGUGCUAAAUAUGAUGGUACUUGUCUAAGUUGCACAACCAACUCAGAUGUCUGACAGUUUUCAUGUAACAACUCAUAUAUAUAUUGACAAUAGGACAUCGGUGUAUGGAAGCAAUAUCCUGAUCCUGAUUGUAAUUUCUUUAACAAUAAGAUAAAUGAACGCAAUUAUCAUACAAAUGAACAAUUAAAAAGAAAAUAAAGGUAGAAAAGGGUAUAACAGUGGUUCACUUUAAUAGUGGGAGCCUAUAUGCAAACUUUCAAUCCAUCAAAGAAUACAUUACACAAUUUAAACAGCUAUUCAAGAUGAUAGCCAUAUCAGAGACCUGGAUGUGUGUGUAGGUGUGUGUGUGUGUGUGUGGGGUCAGAGUGUGACCCCAUAAAUGACUUCCCUAAACCUGCUGGUCUGGAAGUCCAGCGGUUCAUCUAAACAAAAGGCACUUAGCCUAAAACAGAUAUAGCCACGUUUAUCCUACCAUAAAACAAUAAGAGAAGGUACGACCUCUUCCCAUGCUCCCAGGAUGUAGGUGUGCAUUCCAGUGUGGAAUACACACCAAGCCUUUGCAGCCUGCAAAAGAUCACACAUCCUGUCACUACACAAUUGAUUAUACACCUCUAAGCAUAUAUGGUUAAAUAUUUCUAAGCAUCAAUGACAAUCAACAAUACAAAACCUAACAGUGCAUAAAUUUGGGCACCACAAAAAAAAGAAAUGGAAUAAAUAUUUAGUGUAUAUCAAUGUGUGUGUCUCCUAUAUGAUAUAUAGGGUGCCUUUGUCUGGACGUGCUUCCCAUCCAGAGCUGCACAGCACAGAGGAAAGUUCCAGCGCUCCUGGAAUCCCUCUGUGAUGGACCGCCAGUCUCCAGGUGAAGGCGCAGCCAUGAAGUCGUCCACUAGACAGUCCCAGAUGGCCGUCGCUGCCUGGGGGGUGAUCUGACACAUCGACUCUGUAACUGAACGCUUGGUCGUGAAGGAGUCCCCGGUGACAAGGAACCUGGACACAAUUGUUCAAAAUUAGUAUUAUGUGUACUGCAGUUACAAAAUACAUUAUUCAAAUUCCAAAAUACUUUUGUGAUGUCAGAUUUAAAUCACAAAACUUAAAUCUUACAUAAAACAUUUUGUAAUUAUAAGGAUAAUUACAAAAUGUAUAUUAGAUAAUAUCUAAAACAGCUGUGUUUUGUUUUAACUUUAACAUAUCAUAAUUUGAUUGGUAGCAACUUUUACAACUACAGUGAGCCAAUCACUCAUAAUUCCUAAACAUGUCAAUCAGGUAGGAAUGAAGUGAGACAUUAAUAGAAAUAAAGAGUUGUAUGUUGACAUGUAGCCCUUUCCUUGCUUAAAUCAUUAAUAUUUUUGAAAAAUUAAUCUGUGAUAAGACAGCUUAUCAAGAUAGAACCAUGUAACUAGAGAUGAACCAAACUGUUCAGUUUUAUCUAACUCUGUUUUAAUAAAGGCUGGUGACCCCUGUUA
Long non-coding RNA from Astatotilapia calliptera (eastern happy), 3080 nucleotides. The record is from Ensembl. NCBI's taxonomy places the organism in Eukaryota, Metazoa, Chordata, Actinopteri, Cichliformes, Cichlidae.